This 440-nucleotide ribosomal RNA is filed under the name uncultured bacterium. Its description in RNAcentral is "partial 16S ribosomal RNA". It matches the Rfam family "Bacterial small subunit ribosomal RNA", at positions 338 to 795 of the family's 1533-position model. The record is from RNAcentral.
CCUACGGGGUGCAGCAGUGGGGAAUAUUGCACAAUGGGCGAAACCCUGAUGCAGCGACGCCGCGUGAGUGAAGAAGGAAUUCGUUAUGUAAAGCACUAUCAGCAGGGAAGAAAAUGACGGUACCUGAGUAAUAAGCCCCGGCUAACUACGUGCCAGCAGCCGCGGUAAUACGUAGGGGGCAAGCGUUAUCCGGAUUUACUGGGUGUAAAGGGAGCGGAGACGGCAGUGCAAGUCUGGAGUGAAAGGCGGGGGCUCAACCCCCGGACUGCUCUGGAAACUGGACGGCUGGAGUGCAGGAGAGGUGAGUGGAAUUCCUGGUGUAGCGGUGAAAUGCGGAGAUAUUAGGAGGAACACCGGUGGCGAAGGCGGCUUACUGGACUAUAACUGACGUUGAGGCUCGAAAGCGUGGGGAGCAAACAGGAUUAGAUACCCGUGUAGUC